Molecule: non-coding RNA, 29 nt
Filed under: Rattus norvegicus (Norway rat)
Lineage: Eukaryota; Metazoa; Chordata; Mammalia; Rodentia; Muridae
Source: RNAcentral
UGGGAAGCCCUUCACAUUGUGCUCCUGAU